Molecule: long non-coding RNA, 236 nt
Filed under: Homo sapiens (human)
Lineage: Eukaryota; Metazoa; Chordata; Mammalia; Primates; Hominidae
Description: non-protein coding lnc-LONRF2-2:1
Source: RNAcentral
GUGUUUCAUGAAUGCUUUCCUUAACCCAAGCUUUACUUGUAACUUGAGCCAGGUUUUAAUUUUAAAUAUAAAUGAAAUAAAUGGAAAUGUAGCCGUUACUUUCCAGUUUAUGUGAGUAUCACGAUGCAAUAUUUGGAACUGAUUGCAACUGCUGUAAAGUACUUUGAGGAAACCCAUUAGAAGAGAAUUAAAACUUGAACAGAUUAGCUGAUCUCUAAUGGCCCUAGGAGAAGAUC